This 425-nucleotide ribosomal RNA is filed under the name uncultured bacterium. RNAcentral describes it as "bacterial SSU rRNA". It matches the Rfam family "Bacterial small subunit ribosomal RNA", at positions 354 to 796 of the family's 1533-position model. The record is from RNAcentral.
GUGGGGAAUAUUGCACAAUGGAGGAAACUCUGAUGCAGCAACGCCGCGUGAGUGACGAAGGCCUUCGGGUUGUAAAACUCUGUCUUAGCUGACGAUAAUGACGGUAAGCUAGGAGGAAGCCACGGCUAACUACGUGCCAGCAGCCGCGGUAAUACGUAGGUGGCGAGCGUUGUCCGGAAUUACUGGGCGUAAAGGGAGCGUAGGCGGUUUUUUAAGUGGGAUGUGAAAUCCCCGGGCUUAACCUGGGAAUUGCAUUCCAUACUGGGAAACUAGAGUGCAGGAGAGGAAAGUGGAAUUCCAAGUGUAGCGGUGAAAUGCGUAGAGAUUUGGAGGAACACCAGUGGCGAAGGCGACUUUCUGGACUGAUACUGACGCUGAGGCUCGAGAGCGUGGGGAGCAAACAGGAUUAGAUACCCCAGUAGUCC